This 31-nucleotide non-coding RNA is filed under the name Rattus norvegicus (Norway rat). The record is from RNAcentral. Lineage: Eukaryota; Metazoa; Chordata; Mammalia; Rodentia; Muridae.
UGCAUCAUUUCCCUAGAGUGAAACAGGCUGU